AUGUACAAGAGCAUGUUUAGACCAGAAGUGAUAAGAAGGGUCGAACUGUGCUUCUUCCGACCUUGCAAAACUUCCAUCCUUGCCUCGGACAUCAGAAAUCCACCACGUGGUUUUCUCUGCUGAAUGCUCAACUUCUGUCUAUAUAAACCUUGUGCGAUGUGUUUAUCAUUGCUUCACUUUCAGCCUUGUGCUGGGAGUGAGCCCGAUUGCAAUUGUUGUUUGUCUAAUAAAUAUACUUAUAUGCAGCUCCGGAGUCCUGAGGUAACUAGGGUGAAUUUUCACCUAUCAUAAUUGGGGGCUUGUGACCGGGAUUCCAACAACCUCAUCGACUCUCCACGCUGGGCUAAUCAUCAGGACCUGAAUCGUACGGAGGAGUACGAGACUCAGUUUUUCUAAAGACCUCCAACUUGAAUUGGAAGGAGGCCAGGGCCUGCCAGCAUGGAGAGCCGAGAGUGAAGGAAUUGAAUUGAACUAUGGGGGGUGGACUCUGAGCUGUUUGUGAGUAUAUUGUUUGUUUGUUGUAAGUGCACGGUAGUAUAUGGUUAUUGUUUGUUUCGGUUUUGCAUACACUUGUCUUCAAGUGGGGUUGAGACUAAUUUUUGCAUGUUUGCUGCGGGGUGUAAAGGGGAACAACGGUUCAAGGGAGAACUUUUUCCUGGUUGCCUCGUGUGUUGAACGAAUUGCUAGAGUUAGAGAGACUCCUGUCUGUAGUUUUCAUGUUCUUGGAGCGCUCAAGGCUAAAUGAUUGUAUAUUCCUGUUUACCUUCCUGUCCCCUGGUAAGGUAGAGACGGAAGGGUACCGUUCGUUUAGGAAACGGUAAAGGAUAUAAGCAAAGAAAGCCUGUUGCCAAAAGAAGGGCUAGCGCGCGCUAAAAGUAUAAGUACUGUUCACCUUCCUGUCCCCUGGUAAGGUAGAGACGGAAGGGUAUCGUUCGUUUAGGGAACGCUAAAGGUUAUACGCGAGAGCGCUGUUCACCUUAAAAGGAAGGUGUCAUCUGAAGUUGAAAACUCUCUAGGCCUAUUUCUCCGGAUAUUUCUGUAUAUUUUCCUGUUCGCCUUGUAUGAAGGGAACAAACUUUUCAAUUUAUGUUUUCCUAUGGGCCCCCCUGGUAGGCCUCUGGGUGCUUUGUUAAAAAGGGCUUUACAAGAGGGUUAUAGUCCGUUACGAAUUGAUAUAUUCCUGAGGGAGACGAGUCUCCUUAAAAGAUAAAAAGAGAGAGUCAGAGAUACUCCUGUGUGUUAUUUUUCUGUGGGGUUGAGACAAACUUUUUACAAUGAGUAAAACACAGAUAAUGUAGUCAUAAUUUAUGUAAUUAAAGAUUUCGCAUUACUGAGAUGCCUUGACCCGGAACCAGUAGGGGACUGAUGAAAUUCCCUGGCCUCAACCUCCUCACCAAACGAGUGAGACGGGGGCCCUCUGGUCGGGCUCGGGUUGACUCAGCAUUGCGAUCUCAAGAACAAAUAAUGGGAAGUGAGGAAAGUGAAGUGUUAAAAUAGAAAGUAAGAAGAAAGAGACAUCUAAAAGCAAGUCUAAAAGAGUCUGAAAGUAGAAACAUAACUAACCCUAGUGUGAAGAAUAAGAUAAAGGUAAUUUAAAAGGUUUCAAGAUCAGUUAGAGGUAUUAAGAGAAAUACAUAAAAUAACUUAAAAAAUGGGAAAAAGUGUGUCAAAAUCAGAAGACGUACAUGAUAAUGGCAAUAAGAGGUGGCUUAAAAUGUCAAGAAGAAGAAAAUUGUAACACUGAUUUGAAAAUGUUUUUACAUUUUUAUAUUGGUUGCGCCAAACAGAGCAAAGCUUACGUUAAUGGUGGCAAGAAAGCCAAUGAUUUUUUGUUUUGUUUUGUUUUGUUUUGUGUGACUCUGAUUACUCUAAUUAGAUGCCCAGAACAGUAAGGUUGCAAAAAGAAAGAGACAUCUAAAAGCAGACUCUGAAAACAGGAGAGAUGUUUAAAAAAUACAGAUUAUGUUUCAAAAACAUGCCCUACAAAUUUAUUAGGAAGAGAUGUGAUGUGGGUUGGGCAUUAGAAUUGUUCCAACAAUACAUGGGUUUUAGAAUAAAUUAAACAAUGGUGUGUCAAAGAAAUGGUGUCUCAAAAUAUUAGUAUGUAUAGAAUAUACACUGUUUAGCCCCAAAAACAAAAAAGAUUUAAAGAGAAAUUGAAGCCUGUCACACUAACUACAUUAACCUAGACUGAUGCAUUGGACUAACACAGGCUGGGUGGGAGUUGAGUGCUGGCUCAAAAGAAUAUGCUGUUCCUCCAGAUAAGAAGACUUGUAAACAACACACCCUGGUGUUGUUAAGAUUUUUAGCAGAAACAAGGCCACAAAAUUUGCAACUGUGGUCCAGUAAAGUAAAGCUAUCUUAAAAAAGCACCUCAGCCACAGACAAAUAAAUAAAUUAUGUCUUAGCACAUUCAUGACAUGACAAAGCCAUUCGUACAAACUAUAGACUGUAAAAAAAAGAAAAAAAAGGUUAUAUGACAUCUGUGUUAAUGCAUAAGUGGGGACUUAAAGUUGAUACCAGUGCCAUACUAUUCCACACGGCUAGAUCCAGUAGCCCAAGCAAUGUCUGAAUGUUUACAAGCAGUAGUGGCUGCAGCCUUGGCGGUGCAGGCCUCUGCUCCUAUUGUACUAAACAGACACUUAGACUGAAAGUUCCACAUGCUUAUUUAUUUAAUUUUUUUUUUUUGCUCACUCAGCCUCAUAUCAAUAUUGAGCGCUGCGUGACAUUUAACCCAGUUACACUUUUCCUUACGGCAGAAGACAGAUAAAAACUAUGGCAGCCAGAGCUGACCUACGAGAUAUGCCUUUUCCAGAAGCUGAUUUAACUAUUGUUUGUUGAUGGUUCAAGCAAAUAAACCUUGAACACAUAGCCACUACUUCCACACUAUUCCGCACAAGCAGCAGAACUGAUUUCCCUGAUUGCGCACACACACACAUGCAAAAGACCCGGUUUCAUUGGAAAACCACAAAGCAGACAAGGCCACUAACCAGGCCGCACUACAACAACCAUCUGACACGUACACAAUUGAAGAAUUAGAUCUCACAAUACUAAAAGAUAUGCUGCAAUAUUGAGCCAUGGUGAAAACAUGCCUCAAUAAGUGGGGAUAGUAAGCAUAUAUUUGUAGUUCUUAUUUAUAUUUUAUGAGAAAGAUGUUUAAUCAUUCAUUAUUGAUUUUAUUGAGUUAAAUCCCAACGAAAGAAAGAAAUAUUGUCUAGCCAUAGACAAUCACUGUUCAUACAAUCCCCAGUCAGUCGGACUGGUAGAAAAGAAUGAACCAAACUAUUAAAAGCUAAUUGAGAAUCCAAGAGUGAAAUUAGUGAAAUUAAGCAUGCAUGUUGUUAUCACUGUUUAAAAUGAUGUAUGGAAGAAUCUACACUGCCUCAACUCUUAAACCAUUUGCUAUAACAGACAAAGAGAUUGAAUAUACAUUUGCAGAGUACAUGGCAAAGAUCAUGUCGAAACUAAAUGCUCUCAGACUUCUCUCCCCUACACAGGAACACUGUGAGGCUGAAACCAAGGUUGGGUCAGGAGAUUGUGUCCUAAUCAACAGCCUCAAAAGAAAACACUGCCAGACAGUGACCAUACCAAGUGCUACUGUCAACACCUACCGCAGUCAAAAUAGCUGAGAGUGACACGGCAAACGGGUAAGCCUGCACACGGCUGAGGCAGAGGAAUAAAGAUCAUCUUUCUUUGCUGUUUCCAGGGAGUGCCCACUGUGACAGAAGACCAGCCUACAAAGGGGUUAAGAUGUUUAGAUUCUAUUCGUCUCAACCACUGGCAGAAGAUACAGUACUGUCCUGGGGGAUUAGAACCUAGUGGAAAUUGUGGAGUAAGAGGUCUCUUCCUCUGCAAGGUCAUGGGAGGUUACGGAAAGUGGGCCAAAGGAUGUGAGGGACUCUUAGCAACGACUGUAGGAUUUUACAUUGUUGGUCUAUUAACAUACUUAUGGAUGAGACAGCAAACACCGGCCCUGGACGAAUAUCUACGAUGGGACCUGGCUAAAGAUCACCCGUGAUGGAAAUGGAUUACCCCCAGGUCCAAGACUCACCAGUACCUGAGGAACGUUCCAAUGCAUUCCUUACGAGGGAGGAGAGAAGCAGGGGAUGACAGCGGGAUCUGGUUUGAUGGCCUGGGCAUUCCCUGAGGCAUUCCAGACCACUACAAAGCCUUGAACCCAGCAGCCAAUGGCCUGGCAUCUACCCUCUGCCCCUGGUGCGUCAUCGGAGCACACACAGAUUGGAUUAACUUCCUUUACUACGCUGAGAUGAAGUUCCAAAACCUGACCAGAGACGGACUACAAAAGAUCAGAGAAGAACUACACGCCAACUCCAGGUUAACGCGGCAAAACACAGCUGUGCUUGAAAUUCUCACUGCCAUGAAUGGAGGCAUUUGUGUCAUGCUUGGUACUGACCAAUGUUGCACAUAUGUCCCUGAUAACACCAGAGAUGGGAAAGACUUAGAUCUGAUCCUACAAAAGAUGCAAAAAGUUGUCAAACAGGAUGCCUGAUGGGGAACAGGGCCUUCAAGGACACAGCAAAGAAACCUUGUUUGAAUUUUAUCUGAAGCCUAGGCAAGCUAAUGACACACACACAGUCGACAUUCACUAUGUUGGCCUACAAAUGCAAACUAUACAAAUGUGUGAUGAGAAAUAUGAUGACAUUUUAAAUGAUUGACUUAUAAUGAUAUGGAGUGAUGCUCAGUAACGAUCUCUGCUCCGAAAAUCCAUGUGAUGAAGCUCAGAGUGAUGAUUUUGAGGUUAUCCAUUGAAAUUGAUAAUUGACGAAUUAAGAAAGAUGAUUUGUGAUUUUGAUUUUGAUUUUGAAUUAUCCAUUGAAACGGAUAAAAGGAGGGACUGAUGGAGAUAAUUUCCAAACACUGUUAAUGACUUAAGAAUAUAAUAAUCAAGUGCUUUGUAUUAUUAAUUACCUUAUAUAAAUCAUGUACUUAUGUAAGCAGGAACAUGGCUUUUCUGUGUUUCUGUGUGCGUGUGUGUAACUAAGAUAUUAGGUGCCACUUAGUCUGCACAUGUACAAGAGCAUGUUUAGACCAGAAGUGAUAAGAAGGGUCGAACUGUGCUUCUUCCGACCUUGCAAAACUUCCAUCCUUGCCUCGGACAUCAGAAAUCCACCACGUGGUUUUCUCUGCUGAAUGCUCAACUUCUGUCUAUAUAAACCUUGUGCGAUGUGUUUAUCAUUGCUUCACUUUCAGCCUUGUGCUGGGAGUGAGCCCGAUUGCAAUUGUUGUUUGUCUAAUAAAUAUACUUAUAUGCAGCUCAGGAGUCCUGAGGUAACUAGGGUGAAUUUUCACCUAUCACAGAGGUGCUCAGACUUUGUACAAAAAACACAUUGUAAAGAUUUUGGAGCAAGGCUUUUGAACUCUGAACUUUGUAAACAUAGGUGUUAGCUAUACAAAGGUGAGAUUAGCAUUCAGAAAGUGUGUUUGGUUUCACUACUACAUAUUUAUAAUUUCAGAGUGACCUUUCCCUCUCCAAAACUAGUGUUCCUACUCAAUGCAUAUUGAUGGGUUAGAUGUAAACACACCUGGGACACCUGAGUCAAAGUCAAUGGCCAUUGCGUAAUGGCCCUGGAAUGUCUUUGUGGCCCUCUACCCCCCACAGGUUCUUCAUCAUGACCC
This is a long non-coding RNA of Clupea harengus (Atlantic herring), 5637 nucleotides long. Lineage: Eukaryota; Metazoa; Chordata; Actinopteri; Clupeiformes; Clupeidae. The record is from Ensembl.